This 28-nucleotide non-coding RNA is filed under the name Cricetulus griseus (Chinese hamster). Lineage: Eukaryota; Metazoa; Chordata; Mammalia; Rodentia; Cricetidae. The record is from RNAcentral.
AAGGCUGGAGCUAAAAGAAGGGAAAGGA